Molecule: ribosomal RNA, 3470 nt
Filed under: Streptocara incognita
Lineage: Eukaryota; Metazoa; Nematoda; Chromadorea; Rhabditida; Acuariidae
Description: partial large subunit ribosomal RNA
Rfam family: Eukaryotic large subunit ribosomal RNA
Source: RNAcentral
CGAGGAUUCUCCCAGUAACGGCGAGUGAACGGAGAGAAGCCCAGCGCUGAAUCAUUUGGUCACAGUGAUCAAAUUGAAAUGUAGCGUAUAGGUGUAACUGUCCCAUUGUUUUGUGCACUCAAAGUCCCCUUGAGCGGGGCCACAGUCCACAGAAGGUGCUAGACCUGUACGGGUGACGAAACAUUGGGUUAGUUGCUCCUUGGAGUCGGGUUGCCUGAGAUCGCAGCUCAAAGUGGGUGGUAAACCUCAUCUAAGGCUAAAUAUGGCCACGAGACCGAUAGCAAACAAGUACCGUGAGGGAAAGUUGAAAAGAACUCUGAGAAGAGAGUUAAAGGAGGACGUGAAACCGCUGGGAUGGAAACGAAUAGAGUUGACGAAACCAACCGUCAUUCAACCGAUCAGCUUAGCGGUCUCUUUACUAAUGUACCACCAAAUAGAUGUCUUGUGCAUUUAUUGAUGGACAAUAGUGAGAGGUGCUGUUGAGUAGUUUUAAAUAAUGCCUGUGUGAUCGGUGCAUUUGAUGGUGGUACGCGCCGAGAGCCGCGUUUAUUUUGUGUGUGUACGACAAAACAUUUGGUAGUGGACCGAGUAAUUUCAUUAUUCGGAAACCUACCAAUAGUGGAGGCGUAUCAUUGAUGCGGUUGCAAUUGUAAUUUUCGCCGUUAUGGUGCGUUACAUAUUUUUGCUCAAUUUAUACUUGCAUUAAAUGAUCGCUUGCGUAUCGUUGAUGUUUUUAAGUAUCGAGUUGAGUAAUAUGUUUUAACGCGUUAAAAUUACAUCUCGGUGUGAGCGUCGAUCACCUAUUCGACCCGUCUUGAAACACGGACCAAGGAGUCUAGCAUAUGCGCAAGUUAUUGGGUGGUAAACCUAAAAAACGCAAUGAAAGUGAAAAUCGUCUUGAUACGAUUCGAUAUGUGAGCCAUGUAUGAUUUUUUAAAAUCAUUAGCAUGGUGCAACAUAGCCCCGUCCCCGUUGCUUGCAAUAGGGCGGAGGUAGAGCGCAUACGCUGGGACCCGAAAGAUGGUGAACUAUGCCUGAGCAGGAUGAAGCCAGAGGAAACUCUGGUGGAGGUCCGAAGCGAUUCUGACGUGCAAAUCGAUCGUCUGACUUUGGUAUAGGGGCGAAAGACUAAUCGAACUAUCUAGUAGCUGGUUCCCUCUGAAGUUUCCCCCAGGAUAGCUGGAGCACAUAAAAGAGCAGUUAUAUUCGGUAAAGCGAAUGAUUAGACGAAUUGGGGACGAAACGUCCUCAACCUAUUCUCAAACUUUCAAUGGGUAUGAAGUUUCGCUUUCUUAAAAAUGAAAAUGAAGCGUGAACAUUGAAUGCGUGCUCCAAGUGGGCCAUUUUUGGUAAGCAGAACUGGCGCUGUGGGAUGAACCAAACGUCGAGAUAAAGUGCCAAACUUCCCGCUCAUGAGACCCCAUGAAAGGCGUUGGUUGAUAUAGACAGCAGGACGGUGGCCAUGGAAGUCGGAAACCGCUAAGGAGUGUGUAACAACUCACCUGCCGAAUCAACUAGCCCUGAAAAUGGAUGGCGCUUGAGCGGGAGACUUAUACUCGACCGUUGCUUGGCUUGUGUACAUGGGUUGUAUGAUAUUUUGUUUGAUUGGUUGGUUCUUCUGGUCAAUCAAAUGAAAUAAGAAUGCAUAAGUUACCUGGCCGCAACGAGUAAGAGGGUCGCAGUGGUUAGCGUUGAAGACUUUGGGCGUAGGCCCAGUCGGAGCUUCCACUGGUGCAGAUCUUGGUGGUAGUAGCAAAUAUUCAAGUGAGAUCCUUGAAGACUGAAGUGGAGAAGGGUUCCUCGUGAACAGCAGUUGGAUGCGGGUCAGUCGAUCCUAAGAUAUUGGCUAAUGCCAUUUGUUAAAUGAGAGACGGAGAUCAAAUCCAUCUCGGCAAUCGAAAGGGAAACGGGUUUAUAUUCCCGUACCUGGACACGGAGAUUAAAUAUCCAUUGCGGAUAUUUAGCGCGGUAACGCAAACGAACUCGGAGACGUUGAGUAGAGCCCGAGCCAGAGUUCUCUUUUCUGGUUAAGGAACGGACUCCCUGGAAGCGGUUCAGCCGGCGAUAGGGACGUUGUUUCCGUAAAGCGCCACGGUUCCUGUGGCGUCUCGUGCACUCUGCUCGACCCAUGAAAAUCCGAGGGAGGCAAUUUGAAUUUCGUGCCAGAUCGUACCGAUAUCCGCAGCAGGUCUCCAAGGUGAACAGCCUCUAGUCGAUAGAAUAAUGUAGGUAAGGGAAGUCGGCAAAUUAGAUCCGUAACUUCGGGAAAAGGAUUGGCUCUAAGGACUGGGUCGGUCGGGCUGCAGCGUGAAGUGAGUGCGGUUUGAUCCGUGCAGUGCUAACGCUAUAUGAUUGUGCGCAGAAUCCCUUGGAUCUUUGAGUGCAAAAUUUUCUCAAAUUCAAUUCGGCAUUUUUGCUCUUUAAUUGGACUUGAAUGUUUGAAUUGAUUUGAGAGUGAAUUUUGUAUGAUUGAGUGAUAAGGGAUGUGUAUUUAUCAGAAAAGUGUUUGGUUCGGCUAGUGUUUGAACUGUCUUAUGGACCGCUACAGCUGUGCAUUGGUUAACUUUACAGUGAUCAGUGCUUCGUCCGGCGCUAAACAGUCAACUUAGAACUGGCACGGACUCGGGGAAUCCGACUGUCUAAUUAAAACAGAGGAGACAGAUGGUCCUUGCGGACGUUGACUGUCUCUGAUUUCUGCCCAGUGCUCUGAAUGUAAAAGUGAAGAAAUUCAACCAAGCGCGGGUAAACGGCGGGAGUAACUAUGACUCUCUUAAGGUAGCCAAAUGCCUCGUCGGAUAAUUACCGACGCGCAUGAAUGGAUUAUCGAGAUUCCCACUGUCCCUAUCUACUAUCUAGCGAAAUCACAGCCAAGGGAACGGGCUUGGUAAACACAGCGGGGAAAGAAGACCCUGUUGAGCUUGACUCUAGUCCGACUCUGUGAAGAGUCAUGAGAGGUGUAGCAUAAGUGGGAGGUUUUAUCAAGUAAAAUUGGUAGACCAUCAGUGAAAUACCACUACUUUCAUCGAUUCUUUACUUAUUCGGUAAGACGGGAAUUGAACCAAGACGGUUCUUGAUUCUGGUAUAAAGUGUAGCCGCUUGGUGGCAGCACGACUCGCGCCGAAGACAGUGUCAGGCGGGGAGUUUGACUGGGGCGGUACAUCUGUCAAAAGGUAACGCAGGUGUCCUAAGGCUAGCUCAGAGAGGACGGAAACCUCUCGUAGAGUAAAAGGGCAAAAGCUCGCUUGAUCUUGAUUUCCAGUACGAAUACAGACCGCGAAAGCGUGGCCUAUCGAUCCUUUUGAAUUAGAAGGUCUCUAGCAAGAGGUGUCAGAAAAGUUACCACAGGGAUAACUGGCUUGUGGCAGCCAAGCGUCCAUAGCGACGUUGCUUUUUGAUCCUUCGAUGUCGGCUCUUCCUAUCAUUGCGAAGCAGAAUUCGCCAAGCGUUGGAUUGUUCACCCACCAAUAGGG